Meleagris gallopavo (turkey) is the source of this 2835-nucleotide non-coding RNA. NCBI's taxonomy places the organism in Eukaryota, Metazoa, Chordata, Aves, Galliformes, Phasianidae. The record is from RefSeq and is a predicted model, not a curated record.
CUGUCAGACCUUCAGGGUGUGAGAAGGCAGCUGGUUCCUUCCCCAUGCUGGACUACAGGGAGCUGGAAAGGGGAGACAGGACCUUCAGGCAUAUUUGUAAACUCAAAAGAUUCACUGAGGACAUGAUGAGGAGGUGCAGGCUGAAUUUCAGGCUGGAUUGGGUUGGAGCAUACAAAAUAGAAGUUUGUGAAACAUGGAGUGAAAUCUGAGAAAAUGAUGAAAGGGCUGCUGAGAAAUUGGAAUCAGAAUAGUAUUUUCUGGUGCUGGUGGUGGUAAGAAAAUGCCUGUGGGGAAAAUCUUCCAACCAUUAUAGUUGCACAACACUUUUGUCCUCACCUGAAUGUAAGAGGUGCCCAAAUCUACAGACAACUUGAGAAAGAAGUCGUCAGUGCUCUGAUCUACCAUAGCUGUCUGCUAUCUGACUUGAAGAGUCGGAGCUGAUGAGAUGAAGAUAGAUGUUGAACACUGCUUCAGCCCCACGGCAAAAUGCUUUCAAAUAGGAUAUUCUGGAUAAACCAGUUCUUGAUUUGCGCUUUCUAGAGCUACAGAAACGUAUACACAUGAAGAUUCUUGCAUUGCUUCUGGAGGACAACAGAUCUCAGGAUAAUUUCAGUGGAAGGCUUUGGUAAUAAAUAGGCUUUGUUCUAAGCCAGCAGAAGUGUAAAGAAAUGUCUAGGAAGUUCAAGCUUGACUUGGGUAAGAAACAGGUUUCAUGGUACAUCUCCAAAGAUAGCUGGGCACAAGCCUGGUCCUUGCUAGACGCCCUAGGAGGGGGGCCAAGAACCAAAUGUGUGCUCCCACUCAGUUUUUGGCAUCAGCAAAGUCUGCGCAGAGACCGUGGAAGUUCCUGCAGUAACUGCCCAUUAUUGCUCUUGUUUGAAGGACAAACAGGUUCAGGUGCUGAGCUAAGCCACCUCACAUGGACUUUGGGCCUGACUUCUUACCGCAGUCAAUCUCUGGGACCUUCAGAUCUCUGUAAAGCUUUGGGAGCUUUUGUUCCACUUAAAACAGGGACACCAGUAUAUCCAGUCUCACUAACAGAUUUCUCUGCAUUCCUUAUUUACAUUCAUGUGUUUACAAUUAAGGGGAAAAAAGGUGAACUGGGGAGGAUGCGAUAAAGACCUCACUGCGAUUUCAAAGUCUCAUUGGUUGCUUGCUUGUUCUUUUCUUGGCAAGGUCUGUGAAAUUUUGGAUAAUCUCUGAAAAAUGUAUGUCAGCUACAUUAAAAAGAUCUUGCUUGUGGGAUUCAAGUAAUUAGUAUGUAAGUAAUCAGUAAUUAAGAAUUAAAUAAUGGGAGAUUUCAGGAAUUCCUUUGGGAGGUUGAGUGACUUCCUCUGUGCAUUUUUGCUUGCUGCUCUCCUGUUUUACAGCAUGUGGGACAAGUAUUACUUGUGCUUUUGUUCAGUGAGGGACAAAGAGGCUGUUCUAGACAUGCCAAAGUUGUUCCCUAUUAGCACUGGCCAGUGAAUGUAUGCCUCAUUUCAUAUCAUGGUGUUCCCUUUGUGACACCCAGUCCUUUUAAGACGGCACUACACUUGCCUUUAGGGAACAUGCGUCCAUCCCUUCCCCACCCUUUGCCUAACAUUACAACAGGACAAUCUCUUUCAAAGUGAAAAAGAGCUGGCUUCCUUAACCUUAGGUGUCAGGGAGACAGAAAUGGAGCAGCAGCUGAAAUUUUAACUCUGUCUGCUGUCCCUCUUGGCUAUGGGCUGUUAGGGAGCUGCUGUGCUGGCCCAUAAGAGUAUGGCCAGAUCACUCUCUUGUCCUGAAAAGGCACAGGACGCUGGGCAUAUAACCUUCCAGACCUCAGCAAUGCAUGCUGCUUCUGUUGAACUAAAAGGGAAAGAUGUACUACUAGUCUUUUCUUUAAUUGCUGUGCUGUGGAAAUAGGGGGGUAACUGUUAGGGAUUUCAUCGGAGGGCCAGUGGCUGAAAAAAUAAGUCAGAGGAAGGUAGUAUUCUUUCUCACUAGACUCCCCAUGAGUUAUGUUCUCAAGGGGAAUGCAUAUUACAUAUACAUACAUUACAGUUUGCAUCCAAAAAAAUGACACCAGGGACUUGAGAUUUCAAAGACUUUGGACAUUUAUCUGUUGUAAAUGUAAUUGUAUCUAGAAGUAAAUAAGACUUUGCAAUUUAUAGGCACUUUAAUCUUGUGCUAUUUAUGGACGUAGAAUUGCUUAGAAUAAUGCUGCCUUAUUUUAUACUGAUGGGAUUGUAUUUUUACCGCUAUAGUAAGGGUUAUUUCAGCUAUGAACCCUUGUCAGAGUCUGCUUGUUUCCAGAGGGUUGUAAACUGGCUCACGUUGCCUCUGAAGCUACGUGAACUCUUGGGUUUAGAGGAACGUAGUUAAAAAUUUAAGAUACAUCAGCGUACCAAAUAUUUAUGCUUAUAGAUAAAAAUAAAGGACUCUUCCCUAAUGCAGAUGGUAUGCUUGUAUGAACGUUCUGCAGGGAGUUAAAAUUAACAGCAGUUUAUCUCAUCAGUGUCCAACCUUUUUGGCUUGCUUGGGAUGCACUGAGUGAAAAUGAAUUUUCUUGGGCCAUGCAAACAUAGGUUGCACCAAAAGUAAUGCCUCCUAUUCAUUUCUGUGGAAACUACAAGAGAUAGAAAGAACAUAGAUAACAAAAUAGAUAACAAAACUCAGUUACAAAACACUAUUUUUCAGUAGAGUUACCACCAUUAUCUGUGCAUUUUUACCAGUGAUGAAUAAGAGCCUGCAUGCUCCACUCAUAAAAAUCUGCACUACCAGAGGUGAGCCACGGUCUCUGUUGCCGUUGCUGAAACUCACCAGCCACUGCCUCACUGUGCUACAUUCACUGUUUGCUCUCCAUCAACA